CCCGUCACAUCACGAAAGUGGAUUGUACUAGAAGUCUGCGCGCUAACCCGCAAGGGGAGCAGCGGCCCAAGGUAUGAUUCAUGAUUGGGGUG
RNAcentral lists this ribosomal RNA (92 nucleotides) under uncultured bacterium. RNAcentral describes it as "partial 16S ribosomal RNA". The record is from RNAcentral.